RNAcentral lists this ribosomal RNA (534 nucleotides) under uncultured bacterium. Its description in RNAcentral is "partial 16S ribosomal RNA". It matches the Rfam family "Bacterial small subunit ribosomal RNA", at positions 355 to 883 of the family's 1533-position model. The record is from RNAcentral.
UGGGGAAUUUUGGACAAUGGGCGAAAGCCUGAUCCAGCAAUGCCGCGUGUGUGAAGAAGGCCUUCGGGUUGUAAAGCACUUUUGUCCGGAAAGAAAUCCUUGGCUCUAAUACAGUCGGGGGAUGACGGUACCGGAAGAAUAAGCACCGGCUAACUACGUGCCAGCAGCCGCGAUAAUACGUAGGGUGCAAGCGUUAAUCGGAAUUACUGGGCGUAAAGCGUGCGCAGGCGGUUUGCUAAGACCGAUGUGAAAUCCCCGGGCUCAACCUGGGAACUGCAUUGGUGACUGGCAGGCUAGAGUAUGGCAGAGGGGGGUAGAAUUCCACGUGUAGCAGUGAAAUGCGUAGAGAUGUGGAGGAAUACCGAUGGCGAAGGCAGCCCCCUGGGCAAUACUGACGCUCAUGCACGAAAGCGUGGGGAGCAAACAGGAUUAGAUACCCUGGUAGUCCACGCCCUAAACGAUGUCAACUAGUUGUUGGGGAUUCAUUUCCUUAGUAACGUAGCUAACGCGUGAAGUUGACCGCCUGGGGAGUAC